UACGGAGGGUGCAAGCGUUGUUCGGAUUCAUUGGGCGUAAAGCGAGUGUAGGCGGUUUGACAAGUCGGAUGUGAAAUCCCGGGGCCCAACCCCGGAACUGCACCCGAUACUGUCUGGCUAGAGUCCCGGAGAGGGUGGCGGAAUUCCCGGUGUAGGGGUGAAAUCCGUAGAGAUCGGGAGGAACACCAGUGGCGAAGGCGGCCACCUGGACGGUGACUGACGAUGAGACUCGAAAGAGUGGGUAGCAAACAGG
This 253-nucleotide ribosomal RNA is filed under the name uncultured bacterium. RNAcentral describes it as "partial 16S ribosomal RNA". It matches the Rfam family "Bacterial small subunit ribosomal RNA", at positions 524 to 776 of the family's 1533-position model. The record is from RNAcentral.